This 1119-nucleotide long non-coding RNA is filed under the name Bos grunniens (domestic yak). RNAcentral's name for it is "lncRNA (ENSBGRG00000025887.1)". Lineage: Eukaryota; Metazoa; Chordata; Mammalia; Artiodactyla; Bovidae. The record is from RNAcentral.
CUUAAGGGUGCAGGGCUGGGUAAUGAAUAAAUGAUUGUAAUGCCUUUGGAAAUGGAAGUGCUAUGCAAAUGCUAAAUGAUAAUAGGAGAAAAUAAUCAUCUUCCAUUAUCUUCUUUAAAGAUGUAAAUGACAUAACUCUUUUAAAUCUAAAGUGGGUUCAAGAAACAGCAGUAUGCUGAACAGGGAGGUGGACCAAGUGAUCCUGCAAACCCAUUCAGCGCUCUGAAUGCAAUUACAGUGCUGACCAUCAGCCCUGAAAACAAAUUACAGUAGCUAAUGACAGGGAACAGUAAUUAGAAUGUUUUUAGAAAAUUACUUGGAAACAAAAUUGUCAACAAAGACCUCUCAAAUAUAGAUGUAAACAGCUUAAAUAACAGAAUAAUGCAGUGACCUCUGCCCCCAAGUGACACGAAGAUGAUGUUAAACACAUUCCGGGUCCCAAAUCACCGUCUUCCAAAGUGAUUAUGUACCCCUUCCCCAGCCUCAGUGGCUUAUCUAGAAAUCAGAGAGACUCCAUAUGGCUUAAGGGUGCAGGGCUGGGUAAUGAAUAAAUGAUUGUAAUGCCUUUGGAAAUGGAAGUGCUAUGCAAAUGCUAAAUGAUAAUAGGAGAAAAUAAUCAUCUUCCAUUAUCUUCUUUAAAGAUGUAAAUGACAUAACUCUUUAAAUCUAAAGUGGGUUCAAGAAACAGCAGUAUGCUGAACAGGAGGUGGACCAAGUGAUCCUGCAAACCCAUUCAGCGCUCUGAAUGCAAUUACAGUGCUGACCAUCAGCCCUGAAAACAAAUUACAGUAGCUAAUGACAGGGAACAGUAAUUAGAAUGUUUUUAGAAAAUUACUUGGAAACAAAAUUGUCAACAAAGACCUCUCAAAUAUAGAUGUAAACAGCUUAAAUAACAGAAUAAUGCAGUGACCUCUGCCCCCAAGUGACACGAAGAUGAUGUUAAACACAUUCCGGGUCCCAAAUCACCGUCUUCCAAAGUGAUUAUGUACAUUGUUUUUAACCUCAGUCUUCGUGGGUCAUUCCAAAUGAGGUGGAGAGCCAAGUGCCCUUGAACAUUCUGCUGUUUAGUAAAGUCUUAUCCGGGUUCACCGUAUAUUCUGGAUAAGUCUCCUUUCCCUC